AUUGAACGCUGGCGGCAUGCCUUACACAUGCAAGUCGAACGGUAACAGGUCUUCGGAUGCUGACGAGUGGCGAACGGGUGAGUAAUACAUCGGAACGUGCCUAGUAGUGGGGGAUAACUACUCGAAAGAGUGGCUAAUACCGCAUGAGAUCUACGGAUGAAAGCAGGGGAUCGCAAGACCUUGUGCUACUAGAGCGGCCGAUGGCAGAUUAGGUAGUUGGUGGGAUAAAAGCUUACCAAGCCGACGAUCUGUAGCUGGUCUGAGAGGACGAUCGGCCACACUGGGACUGAGACACGGCCCAGACUCCUACGGGAGGCAGCAGUGGGGAAUUUUGGACAAUGGGCGCAAGCCUGAUUCAGCAAUGCCGCGUGCAGGAUGAAGGCCUUCGGGUUGUAAACUGCUUUUGUACGGAACGAAAAGCCCCGGGUUAAUACCCUGGGGUCAUGACGGUACCCGCAGAAGAAGCCCCGGCUAACUUCGUGCCAGCCGCCGCAGUAA
This 498-nucleotide ribosomal RNA is filed under the name uncultured bacterium. Its description in RNAcentral is "partial 16S ribosomal RNA". It matches the Rfam family "Bacterial small subunit ribosomal RNA", at positions 30 to 523 of the family's 1533-position model. The record is from RNAcentral.